Molecule: unclassified non-coding RNA, 195 nt
Filed under: rhizosphere metagenome
Description: partial ribosomal RNA internal transcribed spacer region
Source: RNAcentral
GUAGGUGAACCUGCGGAAGGAUCAUUACUAGUUUAGGGUGCUGAUCCAGCGCCCAAACUUCAACCCUUUGACUUGGUUAAUUUGUUUCUUUGCCGGUUUUGGCCGGCAGAAGUUUUCUCGAACCCAUUAGAAAUUUGUCCUCUGAACUUCAAAAAAUAAUAAUUAAAACUUUCAACAACGGAUCUCUUGGUUCUG